Molecule: ribosomal RNA, 1317 nt
Filed under: uncultured Alphaproteobacteria bacterium
Lineage: Bacteria; Pseudomonadati; Pseudomonadota; Alphaproteobacteria
Description: bacterial SSU rRNA
Rfam family: Bacterial small subunit ribosomal RNA
Source: RNAcentral
ACGUACGCUGGCGGCACGCCUAACACAUGCAAGUCGAACGAAGUAGCAAUACUUAGUGGCAGACGGGUGAGUAACAUGUAGGUAUCUGCCCUUUGGCCUGGAAUAACACGAGGAAACUUGUGCUAAUACCGGAUAAGUCUUUACAGAGAAAGCUUUAUGCACCAUUGGAUGAGCCUGCACUUGAUUAGUUUGUUGGUGGGGUAAUGGCCUACCAAGACUGUGAUCAAUAGCUGAUUUGAGAGGAUGAUCAGCCACAUUGGGACUGAGACACGGCCCAAAUUCCUACGGGAGGCAGCAGUGGGGAAUCUUGCACAAUGGAGGAAACUCUGAUGCAGCGAUGCCGCAUGAGUGAAGAAGGCCUUUGGGUUGUAAAGCUCUUUCGUCGGGGAAGAAAAUGACUGUACCCGAAUAAGAAGGUCCGGCUAACUUCGUGCCAGCAGCCGCGGUAAUACGAAGGGACCUAGCGUAGUUCGGAAUUACUGGGCUUAAAGAGUUCGUAGGUGGUUGAAAAAGUUAGUGGUGAAAUCCCAGAGCUUAACUCUGGAACUGCCAUUAAAACUUUUCAGCUAGAGUAUGAUAGAGGAAAGCAGAAUUUCUAGUGUAGAGGUGAAAUUCGUAGAUAUUAGAAAGAAUACCAAUUGCGAAGGCAGCUUUCUGGAUCAUUACUGACACUGAGGAACGAAAGCAUGGGUAGCGAAGAGGAUUAGAUACCCUCGUAGUCCAUGCCGUAAACGAUGUGUGUUAGACGUUGGAAAUUUAUUUUCAGUGUCGCAGGGAAACCGAUAAACACACCGCCUGGGGAGUACGACCGCAAGGUUAAAACUCAAAUGAAUUGACGGGGACCCGCACAAGUAGUGGAGCAUGUGGUUUAAUUCGAAGAUACGCGCAGAACCUUACCAACACUUGACAUGUUCGUCGCGACUCUAAGAGAUUAGAGUUUUCGGUUCGGCCGGACGAAACACAGGUGCUGCAUGGCUGUCGUCAGCUCGUGUCGUGAGAUGUUGGGUUAAGUCCCGCAACGAGCGCAACCCUCACUUUUAGUUGCCAUCAUUAAGUUGGGCACUCUGAAAGAACUGCCAGUGAUAAGCUGGAGGAAGGUGAGGAUGACGUCAAGUCCUCAUGGCCCUUACGUGUUGGGCUACACACGUGCUACAAUGGUAUCUACAACAGGAAGCAAGACUGCGAAGUUAAGCAAAUCCCUAAAAGAUACCUCAGUUCGGAUUGCACUCUGCAACUCGAGUGCAUGAAGCUGGAAUUACUAGUAAUCGUGGAUCAGCGUGCCACGGUGAAUGCGUUCCCGGGUCUUGUACACACCGC